UUUUUUCAAACAAUGCUCAUUUUGUUGCACAUAAAAAAUGAGAAAAAAAUGCGUUUAUUGAAUAAUUCUCUAAAAUUAAAUACAAUCUUGGUUUCGAUUACAUGAACAAUUUUUUAGGGACAAAAAUAUCUUAAAAUAUGAUAAGGAAUAAUACUGACAAGUUGCAGUGCAAGUGAAACAUUUUUGUGAAUUGUCAACAAUAUACAGAUAUACAGAAACUCGAAAUUUUGGAAUGAUGAUAAUUUAUAAUAGAUGCAACGAAUCGUCUUACAUCAAACACACAUAUUAUCUUUAUUUACUUAUACUACAUAUAGUAGUUAUAUUCUAGUCAUGUAAGUAAUGUAGCCAGUUACCGUCAUAGUAUGUUUAUUUUUUAAUUUUGUUCUCCUUAUUAUUGUUAUCCUUGUUUACUUUUUUU
This 418-nucleotide long non-coding RNA is filed under the name Mytilus galloprovincialis (Mediterranean mussel). Lineage: Eukaryota; Metazoa; Mollusca; Bivalvia; Mytilida; Mytilidae. The record is from RNAcentral.